This 460-nucleotide ribosomal RNA is filed under the name uncultured Bacteroidota bacterium. RNAcentral describes it as "bacterial SSU rRNA". It matches the Rfam family "Bacterial small subunit ribosomal RNA", at positions 338 to 795 of the family's 1533-position model. Lineage: Bacteria; Pseudomonadati; Bacteroidota. The record is from RNAcentral.
CCUACGGGAGGCUGCAGUGGGGAAUAUUGGUCAAUGGGCGAGAGCCUGAACCAGCCAUCCCGCGUGAAGGAAGAAGGCGCUAUGCGUUGUAAACUUCUUUUUCAGGGGGAUAAAAUAUUGUAUGUAUACGAUACUGAAGGUACCCUGAGAAUAAGCAUCGGCUAACUCCGUGCCAGCAGCCGCGGUAAUACGGAGGAUGCGAGCGUUAUCCGGAUUUAUUGGGUUUAAAGGGUGCGUAGGCGGAAUAAUAAGUCAGUGGUGAAACCCUGCAGCUUAACUGUAGACUUGCCAUUGAUACUGUUUUUCUUGAGUAUGGUCAAGGCAGGCGGAAUGUGUAAUGUAGCGGUGAAAUGCUUAGAUAUUACACAGAACACCGAUAGCGAAGGCAGCUUGCUGGGCCGUUACUGACGCUGAUGCACGAAAGCGUGGGGAUCGAACAGGAUUAGAUACCCUAGUAGUC